CUACGGAACUCCUACGGGAGGCAGCAGUGGGGAAUAUUGGACAAUGGGCGAAAGCCUGAUCCAGCCAUGCCGCGUGUGUGAAGAAGGUCUUCGGAUUGUAAAGCACUUUUAGUGGGGAGGAAGGGCAUUAACCUAAUACGUUGGUGUCUUGACGUUACCGACAGAAUAAGAACCUGCUAACUCUGUGCCAGCAGCCGCGGUAAUACAGAGGGUGCAAGCGUUAAUCGGAAUUACUGGGCGUAAAGCGCGCGUAGGUGGUUUGUUAAGUUGAAUGUGAAAUCCCCGGGCUCAACCUGGGAACUGCAUCCAAAUCUGGCAAGCUAGAGUAUGGUAGAGGGUAGUGGAACUUCAUGUGUAGCGGUGAAAUGCGUAGAUAUAGGAAGGAACACCAGUGGCGAAGGCGACUACCUGGACUGAUACUGACACUGAGGUGCGAAAGCGUGGGGAGCAAACAGGAUUAGAUACCCUUGUAGUCCUCUUCGA
Molecule: ribosomal RNA, 483 nt
Filed under: uncultured bacterium
Lineage: Bacteria
Description: bacterial SSU rRNA
Rfam family: Bacterial small subunit ribosomal RNA
Source: RNAcentral